CUCUGAUCGGAGACCUUUCUUACGAACCAAUGGUGUAUUUUGGCUCAACCGACUUCAACCAGUCAAUUUGCAUCCAAUCAAAUUUUGUCCUUUUACAUUUAGCGCCAAACAUUAGAAGCGCAAACACAGUGACACUUGCUCUGCACCGAGUCUGAGGGCGCCUAGCUUUUCUCCGCUCAUGGAUCUCUUACGUUAUUCAUCUCGAUUCUCAUCUGGUCAAUUCGUUAAUCUUCAUUGAUCAUCCGGGCUUCGUUGUCACUCCGCUCGUCUUUUUACAGAGUGAAGUAGAGUUUUUCCCUUGAUUCCUUUGGUGGCUGAUGGUAAAUGCUGUAACUGAUGGAGCAAGAUUGCAGACGAAUCAUUAAGCCGAGAUGUUGUCUUGGAAGCGGAAGCAUAUGCUUUUGGAACAAAGCCCGCUGCUUGAAAGGUAGGGAGGGGAAGUAGAUAACAGCCAGGAGGCUCGAACUCAAGACCUCCUAGUGAGCUGGGCUGACUAAAAUGGUUAGAUUGUGUAAGUACUUAAUGGUGGCUUUUGGUAAGGCUUCAGUUUUCAUUCUUCAUGCAAGGGUUCAAACUGUUAAUAAGGCUAGGGAUCUUGCUGUUGGAAUGAUGUGUACAUGAAGCAGGUACACAGAACGUCCCUGCAGAGAGGGGGGAAAAAGGUGAAAAAGGCCACAGGAAGCACGGUAUUAUUCAGAGAAGCUACUUUAAUAUUAACUUCAAUCAAUUGAAGGCAUGAGCGUGUGCAAGUUGUUGACUGUACUUCAGAGAGGCAGUACAUGGUGGGAAUGCACAGGGUGAGGCAUUCUAUGUUCCCCAAACCCUAGUUUAUGUUAAAAUGGUUUUGGUGAUUGAGACGACUGCAUUGAUGUUUGUAGCAUACUAUGGUUGAUUCCUACGCAUCAGGGGAGACAAUCGUCAUUGGGGUUAUACACAGGUUGAGGUAAACUGCAUUGCAAAUCCGAAAUUUUAUUGUUCUAGGUUGUGUUAAUUGUUGAAAGACCUAGACCAUGAAUUUAAUUGUGGGGAUUAUAUUUUAUGCUCUUACAUUGUAAACCUAGCAAGUUGGGGCUUGUCUAGGGCUUGAGAUUGUAGUCCUUGCCUUUGCGUCAACAACGGUUGAAAAAGUAGAGGGUGCUUCUGAGUCGUUGCGGCUAGAACCCACCAUUCAGGGUUGUAACCCUUGCAUUUGUGUAGGUAAGUGUUGAAGUAGGAUAGGGCGUUCCUAAGUCAUUGUAGUGGCUAAAAAUCACUAGUGAUUGAGUAGACAUUGAGCAGGCAUUACUCAGGGGAUGUCAGCACACUCCUGAAUUAUGUUAAAAUUGGUUGUCCCUUGUAUUUGCAUGUAUUUAGAUAUUUUGAAUUGCAUAGUGAUGACAGGAUGGGUGUACACUAUCUGGUAGACCUAACCACUUUGUUGUAGCAAGGUGGAAGGGCAUACAACUAUGUGGGUUUGGUAAAAUUGGGAUUGCCCCAGCCAGCCAAGAUUUGUGUUAGUGUGUGUGGCGUGGCAUCAACGUUGUUUGAGAUAUUGCCACCAGUAUUGGAAUAUCAAGGGUGUGUUGCAAGGAGUAUUGGAAUAAUUUCGAAGGAAUUUUUAGUGAUCCUAAUUCACUUCCUUAGUGAUCCUAAUUCACCCCCUCUCAAUGUCACUUGGGAAUAUCAAUAAUGGUUGAUCAGUUUGGAGUUUUCUCUACAGUGAGACUUGUCGAAUCACUAGAUACUGUCUCUUGAAUAGUUAUUUAGUUAAUAAUUUGUAUAGUAUGUAAGAAAGAUGUAAUAAGAAACCUAACGUGCUUGGUCCCCUUGUGUAAAUCAGAAUAUUUAUGCUAUAAAUAAAGUUUCUUCUUGUGGCU
This is a long non-coding RNA of Macadamia integrifolia, 1856 nucleotides long. RefSeq lists it as uncharacterized. The transcript is spliced from 6 exons. NCBI's taxonomy places the organism in Eukaryota, Viridiplantae, Streptophyta, Magnoliopsida, Proteales, Proteaceae. The record is from RefSeq and is a predicted model, not a curated record.